GAUGAAUGCUGGCGGCGUGCCUAACACAUGCAAGUCGAGCGGCAGCGAGGGGUGCUUGCACCCUGUCGGCGAGCGGCGAACGGCUGAGUAACGCGUAGGAAUUUGCCCCAAGGUGAGGAAUAACUGCCCGAAAGGGUAGCUAAUGCCGCGUAUGGUCUUCGGAUUAAAGGAUUUAUCCGCUUUGGGAGAAGCCUGCGUUGGAUUAGGUUGUUGGUAGGGUAAUGGCCUACCAAGCCGACGAUCCAUAGCUGGUCUGAGAGGAUGAUCAGCCAGACUGGAACUGAGACACGGUCCAGACUCCUACGGGAGGCAGCAGUGAGGAAUCUUCCACAAUGGGCGAAAGCCUGAUGGAGCAACGCCGCGUGAAGGAUGAAGGCCUUCGGGUUGUAAACUUCUUUUAUGAGUGAAGAAUAUGACGGUAACUCAUGAAUAAGCACCGGCUAACUACGUG
Molecule: ribosomal RNA, 451 nt
Filed under: uncultured bacterium
Lineage: Bacteria
Description: partial 16S ribosomal RNA
Rfam family: Bacterial small subunit ribosomal RNA
Source: RNAcentral